This 376-nucleotide ribosomal RNA is filed under the name uncultured bacterium. Its description in RNAcentral is "bacterial SSU rRNA". It matches the Rfam family "Bacterial small subunit ribosomal RNA", at positions 336 to 705 of the family's 1533-position model. The record is from RNAcentral.
CUCCUACGGGAGGCAGCAGUGGGGAAUCUUCCGCAAUGGACGAAAGUCUGACGGAGCAACGCCGCGUGAGUGAUGAAGGAUUUCGGUCUGUAAAGCUCUGUUGUUUAUGACGAAGUGCAGUGUGUGAACAAUGCAUUGCAAUGACGGUAGUAAACGAGGAAGCCACGGCUAACUACGUGCCAGCAGCCGCGGUAAUACGUAGGUGGCGAGCGUUGUCCGGAAUUAUUGGGCGUAAAGAGCAUGUAGGCGGCUUAAUAAGUCGAGCGUGAAAAUGCGGGGCUCAACCCCGUAUGGCGCUGGAAACUGUUAGGCUUGAGUGCAGGAGAGGAAAGGGGAAUUCCCAGUGUAGCGGUGAAAUGCGUAGAUAUUGGGAGGA